Molecule: ribosomal RNA, 2902 nt
Filed under: Klebsiella pneumoniae
Lineage: Bacteria; Pseudomonadati; Pseudomonadota; Gammaproteobacteria; Enterobacterales; Enterobacteriaceae
Description: 23S ribosomal RNA
Rfam family: Bacterial large subunit ribosomal RNA
Source: RNAcentral
GGUUAAGCGACUAAGCGUACACGGUGGAUGCCCUGGCAGUCAGAGGCGAUGAAGGACGUGCUAAUCUGCGAAAAGCGUCGGUAAGGUGAUAUGAACCGUUAUAACCGGCGAUGUCCGAAUGGGGAAACCCAGUGUGAUUCGUCACACUAUCGUUAACUGAAUACAUAGGUUAACGAGGCGAACCGGGGGAACUGAAACAUCUAAGUACCCCGAGGAAAAGAAAUCAACCGAGAUUCCCCCAGUAGCGGCGAGCGAACGGGGAGCAGCCCAGAGUCUGAAUCAGCUUGUGUGUUAGUGGAACGGUCUGGAAAGUCCGACGGUACAGGGUGAUAGUCCCGUACACCAAAAUGCACAGGUUGUGAACUCGAAGAGUAGGGCGGGACACGUGGUAUCCUGUCUGAAUAUGGGGGGACCAUCCUCCAAGGCUAAAUACUCCUGACUGACCGAUAGUGAACCAGUACCGUGAGGGAAAGGCGAAAAGAACCCCGGCGAGGGGAGUGAAAAAGAACCUGAAACCGUGUACGUACAAGCAGUGGGAGCACCUUCGGGUGUGACUGCGUACCUUUUGUAUAAUGGGUCAGCGACUUAUAUUCUGUAGCAAGGUUAACCGUAUAGGGGAGCCGCAGGGAAACCGAGUCUUAACUGGGCGUUAAGUUGCAGGGUAUAGACCCGAAACCCGGUGAUCUAGCCAUGGGCAGGUUGAAGGUUGGGUAACACUAACUGGAGGACCGAACCGACUAAUGUUGAAAAAUUAGCGGAUGACUUGUGGCUGGGGGUGAAAGGCCAAUCAAACCGGGAGAUAGCUGGUUCUCCCCGAAAGCUAUUUAGGUAGCGCCUCGUGAAUUCAUCUUCGGGGGUAGAGCACUGUUUCGGCUAGGGGGUCAUCCCGACUUACCAACCCGAUGCAAACUACGAAUACCGAAGAAUGUUAUCACGGGAGACACACGGCGGGUGCUAACGUCCGUCGUGAAGAGGGAAACAACCCAGACCGCCAGCUAAGGUCCCAAAGUCAUGGUUAAGUGGGAAACGAUGUGGGAAGGCACAGACAGCCAGGAUGUUGGCUUAGAAGCAGCCAUCAUUUAAAGAAAGCGUAAUAGCUCACUGGUCAAGUCGGCCUGCGCGGAAGAUGUAACGGGGCUAAACCAUGCACCGAAGCUGCGGCAGCGACACUAUGUGUUGUUGGGUAGGGGAGCGUUCUGUAAGCCUGCGAAGGUGACCUGUGAGGGUUGCUGGAGGUAUCAGAAGUGCGAAUGCUGACAUAAGUAACGAUAAAGCGGGUGAAAAGCCCGCUCGCCGGAAGACCAAGGGUUCCUGUCCAACGUUAAUCGGGGCAGGGUGAGUCGACCCCUAAGGCGAGGCCGAAAGGCGUAGUCGAUGGGAAACAGGUUAAUAUUCCUGUACUUGGUGUUACUGCGAAGGGGGGACGGAGAAGGCUAUGUUAGCCGGGCGACGGUUGUCCCGGUUUAAGCAUGUAGGCUGAUUGUCCAGGCAAAUCCGGAUAAUCAAGGCUGAGGUGUGAUGACGAGGCACUACGGUGCUGAAGUAACAAAUGCCCUGCUUCCAGGAAAAGCCUCUAAGCAUCAGGUAACAUCAAAUCGUACCCCAAACCGACACAGGUGGUCAGGUAGAGAAUACCAAGGCGCUUGAGAGAACUCGGGUGAAGGAACUAGGCAAAAUGGUGCCGUAACUUCGGGAGAAGGCACGCUGGUGUGUAGGUGAAGUCCCUGCGGAUGGAGCUGAGACCAGUCGAAGAUACCAGCUGGCUGCAACUGUUUAUUAAAAACACAGCACUGUGCAAACACGAAAGUGGACGUAUACGGUGUGACGCCUGCCCGGUGCCGGAAGGUUAAUUGAUGGGGUUAUCCGUAAGGAGAAGCUCUUGAUCGAAGCCCCGGUAAACGGCGGCCGUAACUAUAACGGUCCUAAGGUAGCGAAAUUCCUUGUCGGGUAAGUUCCGACCUGCACGAAUGGCGUAAUGAUGGCCAGGCUGUCUCCACCCGAGACUCAGUGAAAUUGAACUCGCUGUGAAGAUGCAGUGUACCCGCGGCAAGACGGAAAGACCCCGUGAACCUUUACUAUAGCUUGACACUGAACAUUGAGCCUUGAUGUGUAGGAUAGGUGGGAGGCUUUGAAGCGUGGACGCCAGUCUGCGUGGAGCCAACCUUGAAAUACCACCCUUUAAUGUUUGAUGUUCUAACGUUGGCCCCUGACCGGGGUUGCGGACAGUGUCUGGUGGGUAGUUUGACUGGGGCGGUCUCCUCCCAAAGCGUAACGGAGGAGCACGAAGGUUAGCUAAUCCUGGUCGGACAUCAGGAGGUUAGUGCAAUGGCAUAAGCUAGCUUGACUGCGAGCGUGACGGCGCGAGCAGGUGCGAAAGCAGGUCAUAGUGAUCCGGUGGUUCUGAAUGGAAGGGCCAUCGCUCAACGGAUAAAAGGUACUCCGGGGAUAACAGGCUGAUACCGCCCAAGAGUUCAUAUCGACGGCGGUGUUUGGCACCUCGAUGUCGGCUCAUCACAUCCUGGGGCUGAAGUAGGUCCCAAGGGUAUGGCUGUUCGCCAUUUAAAGUGGUACGCGAGCUGGGUUUAGAACGUCGUGAGACAGUUCGGUCCCUAUCUGCCGUGGGCGCUGGAGAAUUGAGGGGGGCUGCUCCUAGUACGAGAGGACCGGAGUGGACGCAUCACUGGUGUUCGGGUUGUCAUGCCAAUGGCACUGCCCGGUAGCUAAAUGCGGAAGAGAUAAGUGCUGAAAGCAUCUAAGCACGAAACUUGCCCCGAGAUGAGUUCUCCCUGAGACUUUAAGUCUCCUGAAGGAACGUUGAAGACGACGACGUUGAUAGGCCGGGUGUGUAAGCGCAGCGAUGCGUUGAGCUAACCGGUACUAAUGAACCGUGAGGCUUAACCUU